Cyprinus carpio carpio is the source of this 1589-nucleotide long non-coding RNA. Lineage: Eukaryota; Metazoa; Chordata; Actinopteri; Cypriniformes; Cyprinidae. The record is from Ensembl.
AUGGGAGAUGAAGGGGCUGGAGAUCCUAGACUUUUGGGGGUUUACCCAUUACCUGUGCCAUCGUGCUCAAUGGGAUACUUCGACCACACCUGUGUCUCCAGAGAAGAGGGCCGCCAGCCCAGCGCCACAGCACAAGAUGGCCGCCAACCCAGCACCACAGCACAAGAUGGCCGCCAGCCCGGCGCCACAGCACAAGAUGGCCGCCAGUUCAGCACCACAGCACGAGAUGACCACCAGCCCAGCACCGAUACCGAGGCUGUGCCCGAUGCCGAGGCUGUGCCCGAUGCCGAGGCGCUGACCGAUGCCGUUCCGGAGGUCGAGGCAGUGACCGAUGCUGUUCCACAGGUCGAGGCGGUGCCCGAGGCCGAGGUCGCUCCCGAGGCGGUGUCCUUGUCCAAAGCCGUUCCCGAGGCCGUUCCCGAGGCCGUUCCCGAGGCGGUGCCCGAGGUCGUGCCCGAGGCCGUUCCCGAGGCGGUGUCCUUGUCCAAAGCCGUUCCUGAGGCCAUUCCUGAGGCCGUUCCUGAGACCGUUCCCGAGGCGGUGCCCGAUGCCGAGGUCGUUCCCGAGGCGGUGUCCUUGUCCGAUGCCGUUCCUGAGGCCGUUCCUGAGACCGUUCCCGAGGCGGUGCCCGAUGCCGAGGCCGUUCCCGAGGCGGGGUCCUUGUCCAAUGCCGUUCCUGAGGCCAUUCCUGAGGCGGUGCCCGAUGCUGUUCCGGAGGCCGAUGCGGGGCCCGAGAUGGUUCCGGAGACAAUACCCGUGUCCAAGGCCGUUCCCGAGGCGGUGCCCUUGUCUGAGGCCGUUCCCGAUGCCGUUCCCAAUGCCGUGACCUGGCCAUCGCCACAGCCUGCUCCUUACUGGCUCCCCGAUUGGCAGGUUCCGUUCGGGCCACUCAAAUGGCGAAUUCCUCCCUGGCCGUCUGCACAACGAGAAUGGACUGAUCCACCGUGGCCACCUGAACUGCCUGGCCCCUCGUGGUCCCCUGAACUUUCGGGUCCACCGUGGCCACCUGAACUGCCUGGUCCCUCGUGGUCCCCUGAACUUGCGGGUCCACCAUGGCCCCCUGAUCUGACCGAGCCACCUGGGCUACCAGGGGAGCCAUCACUGCCGGUCCCAGUUCCCCUACACGGGCCUGGCCCGCCAUCCCUCCCCCUGUUCUGCCUCCACCAGUCCACCUCCCUCCUGGUCUCUUUGUUUUUUGGUUAUUUUGUUCUGAGGAGCAUCUGGAAGCUGCUCCUUAGAGGGGGGGUAGUGUCACGGUGUCUGUUGAAUGUCACCCUGGUUUGUCGUGGUUCUCGGAUGUUGUUUAUGUUUCUUGUUUCUGGACUGCUUACCUGGAUUGUGACCUUUGCCUGGCUGACCAUGAGAUUUGGAUUAUCCUAAUAAAACAUACUGCAACUGGAUCUACCUGUUUGUGUGCGUGUCGUGACACCUACAGCCGAAAAUAACUAAAGAGAAAAAAAUAGAGCGUCUGUUUCACAAACUUCGACUUGAUAUAAAUCACAGACUGAGAGCUGCAGAUGUUCUUCAGAUAACUGCACAUUCAUUACAGUCUCGUGAGUCUUGUGCUGAAGAAGAGCUGAUUCAGACUU